UGAGGGUCCCAACAACCCAUCUCUAUUUCAUAGUGGACAAUCCUUGACUGACAAAACUCUGGGGGGAAAAUAAAGACCAUGAACUCCUCCAUCCAACAUGGCUGGAAUUAUGAGACCAAGUAAGUUGUUGCUCCAUGCUCCUCCUGCACAGUCAGUUUCCCAGGCCUGCCACCCAACCUUCCCUUUCGAAACAGCAAAGAGAGGGUAGAGAUCUACCUUUCUGUACCGGGGAACAGCAGGUAGGUGGAGAGUGAGAGAGGUACAAAAAGGGGCAAGACUGUUCUGAUUAGCUACACUACCAGUAUUUUAUCCUCUGCCCUUUUCAGCCACUAACCUGCAAAAGCAUUAUUCCCUCAUCAAGCUAAGCUGGUGUGCGUGGUACCAAAGUAGGUCUUAAUUCAGACAGUGGGGCUUGUCAGAUGAUACAGGGAAGCAGGAUUUGGAGUUGAG
RNAcentral lists this long non-coding RNA (450 nucleotides) under Anser brachyrhynchus (Pink-footed goose). RNAcentral describes it as "lncRNA (ENSABRG00000018051.1)". The record is from RNAcentral. Lineage: Eukaryota; Metazoa; Chordata; Aves; Anseriformes; Anatidae.